AGCGAACGCUGGCGGCAGGCUUAACACAUGCAAGUCGAGCGGGCACUUUCGGGUGUCCGCGGCGGACGGGUGAGUAACGCGUGGGAACGUGCCCUCUGGUUCGGAAUAACUCAGGGAAACUUGAGCUAAUACCGGAUACGCCCUUUUGGGGAAAGGCUUGCUGCCGGAGGAUCGGCCCGCGUCUGAUUAGCUAGUUGGUGAGGUAACGGCUCACCAAGGCGACGAUCAGUAGCUGGUCUGAGAGGAUGAUCAGCCACACUGGGACUGAGACACGGCCCAGACUCCUAAGAGAGGCAGCAGUGGGGAAUAUUGGACAAUGGGCGCAAGCCUGAUCCAGCCAUGCCGCGUGAGUGAUGAAGGCCUUAGGGUUGUAAAGCUCUUUUAUCCGGGACGAUAAUGACGGUACCGGAGGAAUAAGCCCCGGCUAACUUC
RNAcentral lists this ribosomal RNA (432 nucleotides) under uncultured bacterium. RNAcentral describes it as "partial 16S ribosomal RNA". It matches the Rfam family "Bacterial small subunit ribosomal RNA", at positions 29 to 504 of the family's 1533-position model. The record is from RNAcentral.